RNAcentral lists this ribosomal RNA (497 nucleotides) under uncultured bacterium. RNAcentral describes it as "partial 16S ribosomal RNA". It matches the Rfam family "Bacterial small subunit ribosomal RNA", at positions 28 to 507 of the family's 1533-position model. The record is from RNAcentral.
GAUGAACGCUGGCGGCGUGCCUAAUACAUGCAAGUCGAGCGAGCGGACGAGAAGCUUGCUUCUCUGAUGUUAGCGGCGGACGGGUGAGUAACACGUGGAUAACCUACCUAUAAGACUGGGAUAACUUCGGGAAACCGGAGCUAAUACCGGAUAAUAUUUUGAACCGCAUGGUUCAAAAGUGAAAGACGGUCUUGCUGUCACUUAUAGAUGGAUCCGCGCUGCAUUAGCUAGUUGGUAAGGUAACGGCUUACCAAGGCAACGAUGCAUAGCCGACCUGAGAGGGUGAUCGGCCAGACUGGAACUGAGACACGGUCAAGACUCCUACGGGAGGCAGCAGUAGGGAAUCUUCCGCAAUGGGCGAAAGCCUGACGGAGCAACGCCGCGUGAGUGAUGAAGGUCUUCGGAUCGUAAAACUCUGUUAUUAGGGAAGAACAUAUGUGUAAGUAACUGUGCACAUCUUGACGGUACCUAAUCAGAAAGCCACGGCUAACUACGUG